GGGGCCGUAGUCGAGCCUGGUAAGAUGUGCGGCUUGGGCCCGCAAGAUCCCGGGUUCAAAUCCCGGCGGCCCCA
RNAcentral lists this transfer RNA (74 nucleotides) under Thermoproteus sp. RNAcentral describes it as "tRNA-Pro". It matches the Rfam family "tRNA". Rfam says of the family: Transfer RNA (tRNA) molecules are approximately 80 nucleotides in length. Their secondary structure includes four short double-helical elements and three loops (D, anti-codon, and T loops). Lineage: Archaea; Thermoproteati; Thermoproteota; Thermoprotei; Thermoproteales; Thermoproteaceae. The record is from RNAcentral.